AGGUGUCCCCUUCCUCCCUUACUGCUCCAUGUGUGUUCCUACUGAGGCUGUGAGCUCAGUCAAAGAGGAUGACCUUCCCUUAAUAGAGGAGGACUGUUUUUUUCUCCCAGGUAUAAGAGUAGCUGUGCUCUCCUGCUAGAACCUCCAAACAAGCUCAGGGUCAGGGAAUCUUAUAAAAGAAGGGAAAGAUAGUAAGACCUGGAGGAGACUAGAGCUCCACAAGGAGAACAACAGAACCAAAAAAUCUGGGCACAGGGGUCUUUU
This 264-nucleotide small RNA is filed under the name Meriones unguiculatus (Mongolian gerbil). RNAcentral's name for it is "7SK RNA (ENSMUGG00000008775.1)". The stretch from base 1 to 213 matches the Rfam family "7SK RNA", at positions 81 to 331 of the family's 331-position model. Rfam says of the family: 7SK was discovered as an abundant small nuclear RNA in the mid-70s but a possible function has only recently been suggested. The record is from RNAcentral. Lineage: Eukaryota; Metazoa; Chordata; Mammalia; Rodentia; Muridae.